CAGAGGGUGCAAACGUUGCUCGGAAUUACUGGGCGUAAAGCGCGUGUAGGCGGGCCAACAAGUCAGAUGUGAAAUCCCUGGGCUCAACCCAGGAACUGCAUUUGAAACUGUUGGCCUUGAGUGGUGGAGAGGGAAGCGGAAUUCCUGGUGUAGAGGUGAAAUUCGUAGAUAUCAGGAGGAACACCGGUGGCGAAGGCGACUUCCUGGACACCAACUGACGCUGAGACGCGAAAGCGUGGGGAGCAAACAGGAUUAGAUACCCUGGUAGUCCACGCCGUAAACGAUGGACACUAGGUGUCGCGGGUUUUGACCCCCGCGGUGCCGUAGCUAACGCGUUAAGUGUCCCGCCUGGGGAGUACGGCCGCAAGGCUA
RNAcentral lists this ribosomal RNA (372 nucleotides) under uncultured organism. Its description in RNAcentral is "bacterial SSU rRNA". It matches the Rfam family "Bacterial small subunit ribosomal RNA", at positions 526 to 896 of the family's 1533-position model. The record is from RNAcentral.